Long non-coding RNA from Lycium ferocissimum, 571 nucleotides. RefSeq lists it as uncharacterized. NCBI's taxonomy places the organism in Eukaryota, Viridiplantae, Streptophyta, Magnoliopsida, Solanales, Solanaceae. The transcript has 2 exons. The record is from RefSeq and is a predicted model, not a curated record.
AAGAGGCAUUUGCUAGUAAAGUGGUGCAGAAAAUGGCGAGGAAGAGCAAAAUGAAAAUGGGACGUAGAAUUUAGCAACAUCAAGUUGAUCACUUGGCGGUCUAAAGAAUGGAUGCGAGAGAUGAUAAGAGAGCUUAGAGACAUUAUGCAUGGACAAAUGAAAUUAGGAAACGGAAGCAUAAGAAGCAUUGGUUUCUGGAUCAAGUGCCAAAUCUAGACUGUUUCCAACACACAAAUCUACGGAAGACAUAUUGCUAAAAUGAUGCAAAUCUUAUGAUUUCAAGUUAGUGGAUAAUACUCAAAACAUUUAUUCCAUAUAUGUAAAUUUAGUAGACCUAUCUAUGUUCAAUAUUUAGACAGACAUGCAUGCAGGGUUAAUGUUACUCUAGUAUGUUUCCAUUUCAAGAACUUCAUAUGCCCUCUCCUUAGCUAUGAAGGACUCUUUUUUUUGUUGUGAAAGUUGCCAUUUCAAAUCCAAUUAUCCAAACCCUCUAAUGUUAGAGAAGUGACACAUGCCUCCCUUUUAAAGAUUAACCCUUUGAGUCAUAUACAUGGUAGACCGUUUGCGACUA